This 440-nucleotide ribosomal RNA is filed under the name uncultured bacterium. Its description in RNAcentral is "partial 16S ribosomal RNA". It matches the Rfam family "Bacterial small subunit ribosomal RNA", at positions 338 to 795 of the family's 1533-position model. The record is from RNAcentral.
CCUACGGGAGGCAGCAGUGGGGAAUAUUGCACAAUGGGGGAAACCCUGAUGCAGCGACGCCGCGUGAGUGAAGAAGUAUUUCGGUAUGUAAAGCUCUAUCAGCAGGGAAGAAAAUGACGGUACCUGAGUAAGAAGCCCCGGCUAACUACGUGCCAGCAGCCGCCGUAAUACGUAGGGGGCAAGCGUUAUCCGGAUUUACUGGGUGUAAAGGGAGCGUAGACGGUAGUGCAAGUCUGAAGUGAAAGGCCGCGGCUCAACCGCGGGACUGCUGUUGAAACUGUACGACUUGAGUGCAGGAGAGGUAAGCGGAAUUCCUAGUGUAGCGGUGAAAUGCGUAGAUAUUAUGAGGAACACCAGUGGCGAAGGCGAGUUACUGGACUGUAACUGACGUUGAGGCUCGAAAGCGUGGGGAGCAAACAGGAUUAGAUACCCGUGUAGUC